This 102-nucleotide transfer RNA is filed under the name Colletotrichum fioriniae PJ7. It matches the Rfam family "tRNA". From Rfam's summary of the family: Transfer RNA (tRNA) molecules are approximately 80 nucleotides in length. Their secondary structure includes four short double-helical elements and three loops (D, anti-codon, and T loops). Further hydrogen bonds mediate the characteristic L-shaped molecular structure. tRNAs have two regions of fundamental functional importance: the anti-codon, which is responsible for specific mRNA codon recognition, and the 3' end, to which the tRNAs corresponding amino acid is attached (by aminoacyl-tRNA synthetases). tRNAs cope with the degeneracy of the genetic code in two manners: having more than one tRNA (with a specific anti-codon) for a particular amino acid; and 'wobble' base-pairing, i.e. permitting non-standard base-pairing at the 3rd anti-codon position. The record is from Rfam by way of RNAcentral. Lineage: Eukaryota; Fungi; Ascomycota; Sordariomycetes; Glomerellales; Glomerellaceae.
UCCCCGAUAGUCUAGUGGUGAGGAUAUCUGCUUGUCAUCAUUGGGGAAUUAUUCCCUGACAACGAUUCGCAGGGGACCGGGGUUCAAUUCCCCGUCGAGGAG